AUGCGCGACUCCGAGCUGGCCAAAGAAGUUCGUCCCCUUUGUGAGGCCCGGGAUGGGAGGCGCCCGGUUCCCCCAGGGACAGCUUCAAGCGGUAGGGACAGACAUCUGAGGACCCAGCCUCAGGGAUGCUGUCCCCGGGCUUCCAGGCUCCAGCGCCGUAGGACUGAGGCAGACUCCACGGUGAGAAAGAGACCCGAUCUAACCCAGGCCUUUCAUCAGAGCCCAGGAGGGAAGGCAGGAAGUGGGACCACGAGGCCCGGGGGGCUUCUAACUCGUCUGGCCAGGGAGAUCUGAAUUGGGGUGAAGAGCAGAAUCUCCAGAACAAGGAGGAGGUGGUGAUCAUGGAGACAGAUUUGGCUGAAAUGCCUGAGAAAGGAGUUCUGUCUUCCCAGGAUUCUCCCCAUUUCCAAGAGAAGAGCACAGAAGAGGGAGAAGUGGCUGCUCUGCGCCUCACGGC
RNAcentral lists this long non-coding RNA (457 nucleotides) under Homo sapiens (human). RNAcentral describes it as "HSALNT0238196". Lineage: Eukaryota; Metazoa; Chordata; Mammalia; Primates; Hominidae. The record is from RNAcentral.